GCUGGAGUGGCGGAAUUGGCAGACGCGCCAGGUUGAGGGCCUGGUUCCCGUCAAGGGAGUGCAGGUUCAAGUCCUGUCUCCAGCACCU
RNAcentral lists this transfer RNA (88 nucleotides) under Planctomycetia bacterium. Its description in RNAcentral is "tRNA-Leu". It matches the Rfam family "tRNA". Rfam says of the family: Transfer RNA (tRNA) molecules are approximately 80 nucleotides in length. Lineage: Bacteria; Pseudomonadati; Planctomycetota; Planctomycetia. The record is from RNAcentral.